CGGCUAGUAGUAGGCCGGUUAGGAUUUGUGUUGCUAGGCAGAUGCCUAGGAGAGAUCCGAAGUUUCAUCA
RNAcentral lists this transfer RNA (70 nucleotides) under Antigone antigone antigone (Indian Sarus crane). RNAcentral describes it as "Grus antigone antigone (Indian Sarus crane) tRNA-Pro". The record is from RNAcentral. Lineage: Eukaryota; Metazoa; Chordata; Aves; Gruiformes; Gruidae.